Molecule: ribosomal RNA, 482 nt
Filed under: uncultured bacterium
Lineage: Bacteria
Description: partial 16S ribosomal RNA
Rfam family: Bacterial small subunit ribosomal RNA
Source: RNAcentral
AUUGAACGCUGGCGGCAUGCUUUACACAUGCAAGUCGAACGGUAACAGGCCGCAAGGUGCUGACGAGUGGCGAACGGGUGAGUAAUGCAUCGGAACGUGCCCAGUCCUUGGGGAUAGCUACUCGUAAGAGUAGCUAAUACCGCAUACGAUCUAUGGAUGAAAGCGGGGGACCGUAAGGCAUCGCUCCGUUGGAUCGGCCUAUGCCAGGUGAGUUAGUUGGUGGGGUAAAGGCUCACCAUGCCCACGAUCUGUAGCGGGUCUCAGAGGCCGACCGGCCACACUGGGGCUGGAACACGGACCAGAGGACUACGGGAGGCAGCAGAGGGGAAUGGUGGACAAUGGGCGGAAGCCUGAUCCAGCAAGGCCGCGUGCAAGAAGGAGGCCUUCGGUUUGUAAACUGCGUUUUUACGGAGCAAAACGGCUUUGGUUAAUACCCGGCGCUAAUGACGGUACCGGAAGAAUAAGCACCGGCUAACUACGUG